UUCGACCGCAAGCGAAGGUGCUCGCACCUUUCAGUGAGUGGCGAACGGGUGAGUAAACGUGGACAACCUGCCUCAGGCUGGGGAUAAAUUUGGAAACAGAUGCUAAUACCGAAUGAAACUUAGUGUCGCAUGACACGAAGUUAAAAGGCGCUUUGGCGUCACCUAGAGAUGGAUCCGCGGUGCAUUAGUUAGUUGGUGGGGUAAAGGCCUACCAAGACAAUGAUGCAUAGCCGAGUUGAGAGACUGAUCGGCCACAUUGGGACUGAGACACGGCCCAAACUCCUACGGGAGGCUGCAGUAGGGAAUCUUCCACAAUGGGCGAAAGCCUGAUGGAGCAACGCCGCGUGUGUGAUGAAGGCUUUCGGGUCGUAAAGCACUGUUGUAUGGGAAGAACAGCUAGAAUAGGGAAUGAUUUUAGUUUGACGGUACCAUACCAGAAAGGGACGGCUAAAUACGUGCCAGCAGCCGCGGUAAUACGUAUGUCCCGAGCGUUAUCCGGAUUUAUUGGGCGUAAAGCGAGCGCAGACGGUUGAUUAAGUCUGAUGUGAAAGCCCGGAGCUCAACUCCGGAAUGGCAUUGGAAACUGGUUAACUUGAGUGCAGUAGAGGUAAGUGGAACUCCAUGUGUAGCGGUGGAAUGCGUAGAUAUAUGGAAGAACACCAGUGGCGAAAGCGGCUUACUGGACUGUAACUGACGUUGAGGCUCGAAAGUGUGGGUAGCAAACA
Molecule: ribosomal RNA, 725 nt
Filed under: Leuconostoc mesenteroides
Lineage: Bacteria; Bacillati; Bacillota; Bacilli; Lactobacillales; Lactobacillaceae
Description: bacterial SSU rRNA
Rfam family: Bacterial small subunit ribosomal RNA
Source: RNAcentral